AGGAUUAACGCUGGCGGCGUGCCUGACACAUGCAAGUCGAACGAGGCCGCAAGGCCGAGUGGCGGACGGGUGAGUAACACGUGACCAACCAACCUCGAAGUUGGGAAUAGCUCUGCGAAAGUAGGGGUAAUACCGAAUGUGGCCCAGGGCGGGCAUCCGCCUUGGUCUAAAGAUUCAUCGCUUCGAGACGGGGUCGCGGCCUAUUAGCUUGUUGGUGAGGUAACGGCUCACCAAGGCGAUGAUGGGUAGCUGGUCUGAGAGGACGACCAGCCACACUGGGACUGAGACACGGCCCAGACUCCUACGGGAGGCAGCAGUGAGGAAUCUUCCGCAAUGGGCGAAAGCCUGACGGAGCAACGCCGCGUGUGGGAUGGAAGACUCUAGGGUUGUAAACCACUGUCGGAGGGGACGAUCGUGACGGUACCCUCCAAGAAACGCCCCGGCUAACUACGCGCCAGCAGCCGC
This 465-nucleotide ribosomal RNA is filed under the name uncultured bacterium. Its description in RNAcentral is "SSU rRNA". It matches the Rfam family "Bacterial small subunit ribosomal RNA", at positions 26 to 518 of the family's 1533-position model. The record is from RNAcentral.